UACGUAGGGGGCUAGCGUUGUCCGGAAUCAUUGGGCGUAAAGCGCGUGUAGGCGGUCCGGUAAGUCCGCUGUGAAAGUCGGGGGGCUCAACCCUCGAAUGCCGGUGGAUACUGUCGGGCUAGAGUGCGGAAGAGGCGAGUGGAAUUCCUGGUGUAGCGGUGAAAUGCGCAGAUAUCAGGAGGAACACCAAUGGCGAAGGCAGCACUCUGGGACGUGACUGACGCUGAGACGCGAAAGCGUGGGGAGCAAACAGG
RNAcentral lists this ribosomal RNA (254 nucleotides) under uncultured bacterium. RNAcentral describes it as "partial 16S ribosomal RNA". It matches the Rfam family "Bacterial small subunit ribosomal RNA", at positions 524 to 776 of the family's 1533-position model. The record is from RNAcentral.